GAUGAACGCUGGCGGCGUGCCUAAUACAUGCAAGUCGAGCGAACAGACGAGGAGCUUGCUCCUCUGACGUUAGCGGCGGACGGGUGAGUAACACGUGGAUAACCUACCUAUAAGACUGGGAUAACUUCGGGAAACCGGAGCUAAUACCGGAUAAUAUAUUGAACCGCAUGGUUCAAUAGUGAAAGACGGUUUUGCUGUCACUUAUAGAUGGAUCCGCGCCGCAUUAGCUAGUUGGUAAGGUAACGGCUUACCAAGGCAACGAUGCGUAGCCGUCUGAGAAGGUGAUCAGCCACACUGGAACUGAGACACGGUCCAGACUCCUACGGGAGGCAGCAGUGGGGAAUAUUCCACAAUGGGCGCAAGCCUGAUCGAGCCAUACCGCGUGGGUGAAGAAGGCCUUCGGGUUGUAAAACCCUUUUGUUGGGGAAGAAAAACAGCAGAAUGAAACCCCGCUGUUCUGACGGUACCCAAAGAAUAAGCCCCGGCUAACUUCGUG
This 496-nucleotide ribosomal RNA is filed under the name uncultured bacterium. Its description in RNAcentral is "partial 16S ribosomal RNA". It matches the Rfam family "Bacterial small subunit ribosomal RNA", at positions 28 to 507 of the family's 1533-position model. The record is from RNAcentral.